This 385-nucleotide RNase P RNA is filed under the name Candidatus Omnitrophota bacterium. Its description in RNAcentral is "RNase P RNA component class A". It matches the Rfam family "Bacterial RNase P class A". From Rfam's summary of the family: Ribonuclease P (RNase P) is a ubiquitous endoribonuclease, found in archaea, bacteria and eukarya as well as chloroplasts and mitochondria. Its best characterised activity is the generation of mature 5'-ends of tRNAs by cleaving the 5'-leader elements of precursor-tRNAs. Lineage: Bacteria; Pseudomonadati; Candidatus Omnitrophota. The record is from RNAcentral.
UUAGCGAGCCGGAUGGUCGCCCGCCGAUAAGAUCGGCGAGAGGAAAGUCCGAGCUCUAAAGAGCAGCGUAACGGCUAAUGGCCGUCCGUCGAAAGACGAGGAUUAGAGGACAGAGACGAGGCUCCGUCAAUUGUUGUAUGACGGAGAGUGAGACGACCAAUCUCUACGCGGAGCAAGACCAAAUAGGUCUCGAUUAAGGAGUUGCUCGCUCCUACUGCAAAUUGAUCUUCGUUAGCGGGUAGUAAAUUCCGCGAAGCGAAACACGUCAGUAUCGAGACGGGUAAGGUCGCUUGAUCCUGCCAGUAAUGGCGGGACUAGAUAGAUGACCAUCUCAUUCUGUGCAAACAGGAUAAGACAAAACUCGGCUUACAGGCUCGCUAAUAUU